Struthio camelus australis is the source of this 4430-nucleotide non-coding RNA. Lineage: Eukaryota; Metazoa; Chordata; Aves; Struthioniformes; Struthionidae. The record is from RefSeq and is a predicted model, not a curated record.
GUAACAGGGAUUUUGAUGAUGAAAAAAUCCUUAUACAGCAUCAAAAAGCAAAGCACUUUAAAUGCCAUAUAUGUCAUAAGAAAUUGUAUACAGGACCUGGUUUAGCUAUACAUUGCAUGCAGGUACAUAAAGAAACAAUAGAUGCUGUUCCAAAUGCUAUUCCUGGAAGAACAGACAUUGAACUGGAAAUCUAUGGCAUGGAGGGCAUUCCAGAGAAAGACAUGGAGGAAAGGAGGAGGUUACUUGAACAAAAAACUCAGGCAGAGAGCCAGAAAAAGAAACAACAGGAUGAUUCUGAUGAGUAUGAAGAUGAUGAAUCUGCAGCUUCAACUUCAUUUCAACCACAGCAGGUUCAGCCACAGCAGGGGUACAUUCCCCCAAUGGCACAACCAGGUUUGCCUCCUGUGCCAGGUGCACCAGGAAUGCCUCUAGGUAUACCACCAUUAAUGGCAGGUGUUCCACCUAUGAUGCCUGGAAUGCCUCCAGUGAUGCCUGGAAUGCCACCUGGAUUACAUCAACAGAGAAAAUACAUGCAGUCAUUUUGUGGUGGAAACAUGAUGAUGCCGAUGGGUGGGAUGAUGCCCCCUGGACCAGGAAUACCACCUCUUAUGCCUGGUAUGCCGCCAGGUAUGCCUCCACCAGUUGGUCCUCGUCCUGGGAUGCCUCCAAUGACACAAGCGCAGCCUGUGACAGCACCGGGUAUUCUUAAUAGACCUCCAGCUCCUGCUGCAUCGGCACCUACCCCCCAGCCUCCCGUUACUAAACCACUCUUCCCAAGUGCAGGGCAGAUGGGGACACCUGUCACAAGCUCAAGUACAGCUUCCUCCAAUUCAGAAAGUCUGUCAGCAUCUUCUAACGCUCUGUUUCCUAGCGCAGCACAAGCUGCGGCAGCUGUUCCAGGUCCAGUUGGUACUGAUUUCAAACCUUUGAAUUCUACACCUGCAACAACAACAGAACCCCCCAAACCAACAUUCCCUGCUUACACACAGUCUACAGCCUCAACCACUAGCACAACAAACAGUACUGCAGCUAAACCAGCUACAUCUAUAACAAGUAAGCCUGCUACACUUACAACAACCAGUGCAACCAGUAAGUUGAUCCAUCCAGAUGAGGAUAUAUCUUUGGAAGAGAGAAGGGCACAGUUGCCUAAAUAUCAGCGUAACCUUCCUCGACCAGGACAAGCUUCCUUGGGUAAUCCGCCAGUUGGACCAAUUGGAGGUAUGAUGCCACCACAGCCAGGAAUUCCUCCACAGCAGCAAGGAAUGAGACCGCCUAUGCCACCUCAUGGUCAGUAUGGUGCUCAUCACCAGGGCAUGCCAGGAUACCUUCCUGGAGCGAUGCCUCCUUAUGGUCAGGGACCUCCGAUGGUGCCCCCUUACCAAAGUGGACCUCCUCGACCUCCAAUGGGAAUGAGACCUCCUGUAAUGUCGCAAGGUGGCCGCUACUGAUGCUACUACACACACUCUAAUAGGUUUGGAGAUUAAACCUUUUCUCAUCUUGUGCUGUUAAUAUAGGCAAGCUUCCGUCAAUUAAGGCUUCAUUGUGACUUUAAAAAAAAAAAAAAAAAAGUAUCUUCCCACAUGCAAGGAACUAUUGGACAUUCUUAUCUUACACGGGAAAAAUUAUUUGGAAUAAUAACAGGAACUUUUCCUGAUGUUGCAAUUUAUACUGUAUGGCUUCUUUUUCAUGUUUCAUCUAGGUUUUUAGAAGUGAAGUAUAGUAAAUAUGGUUCGUUAAAUUGUGAAGGCGCUGGAAUUACAUGAACGUACCACCUUAAAGCCCUGCCAUAGGACAGGCUGAGGCAGAGUCUCAGUGUUGCCCUGUUCAGUCUGAGCAGAAUUUCAGCAUUUGCUACUUACUGGUAGAGAAGAAAAAUCCCACAGCACUGCCAGUACAGGUUAGUUUAAUCUGUAAGUACCUGAUGUUCCUAUUUGAAAUAACUCUGUUCAAAUGAUACCAUUGAAGUAGUACAUGAGGAGGGGAAUUUUCAUUUCUCAUAUGUGAAUGUAUCUUUGCUAUCUACUACUGUUUUCAGUAGUGAGUAAACGUCUACUUUUUUUUUUUAUGAAGAUCUGUAAUGAUUUGAACUACACCUGUGGAUAGGUAAUAUUUGCAAUCUCUUUUAAAGGAAUUUUUAUACAGAACUUUGUCAAACAACCAUCUGGUGUUACUGAAAAGCGUAAAGGCCUAAAAUUGAGGAUGAUUCCUCAGUAAUGUGAACAUUACAAAAGAGGCCAUUUUUAGCAGUGAACCAAUUAAUAGGCUAUUAUAUUCAUUCUUAUUUUGUGGAAGAAGCAUUCCUGUUGGUUGCAAUCUAUAGCAGUAAUUGCAAUCUUUGGUCGGAUUCUCUUUAGUUAUUGUUAAUUACUGCCUCCUCCUGGCAUAUUUAUGCUCUGAUAGGUCUGUUAGCCAGAAGCUUGUUUUUCUCUGAUUUUUCGUUAGUCCGUUUCAGUACUUUAAAGGCUACCAACAAGUGUGGUUUUUGCCCAGCUGUUUUAUCUUAACUCGAGUUACUGCUCUUCUGCUGUUUUUGUCUUCCUUUGUGCCAUUCAGUUUUCCUGGAAGUUCUGGCAUUUUGGUUUUUAUUGCGUAGUCUCCAGAGUAUUUUACAACUUAAAGAUUUUUACGACUUAAAAUAAGAAAGAUUCUUUGUAUUGGAUAAAAGAUGCAACCUGCUCCAAAACUAGCUGCCUCCAUUUAUUCAUUUGUUUAAACUUAAUGUUCCUCUACAUACCAGCAUGGGAGAUGAAAAUUGAUUAUACUUCCUGUGCUCUGGCACAUGGCUUGAUGACAAGCUGUGAAACUUUCUGUGCCUUAAUUCACUUUUCAAGGGCAUGUUAUCACACAGAGAAUUUGAGGGGCUUUUGAAAUUGUUGGUGCAGAGGUAUGUGAAAGCAAGAUCAGCGUACACUAGUGAGGUACCUAAACAGAAACUUUAGUUCUGCCGGCUCGUCUAAAUGAUCCGGAGUAGUUUCAUUAGUGACACAGUAGACUUGACACUUCUCUUCAGCAGUGUAACUUGUUUUAGAGUUUUGAAAUUUUACACAACUUUGCAGAAUACAUCAUACUAGCCUGUAAAUGCAUUAUCAAAGGGAACGUGUCUUCCCACGUUUUAGAAUAGUUAAAAUCAACAAUAGUUACAAUAGUUUACAUCUCCUGGCACUUUCUCUACGUCAUUUCUCAGACGUCCUCACUAAAUUAUUUUGUUUGCCGGAGUAGUUCCAUGCAAAUGUGAAUAAUGCUAAGCAAGCAUUUCUUCCUAGAAGAGAAAAAGGUGGAACAUUGCAUAAUAAAUUUAAUGACUAAACCUUUUCUGUAUCUCCUAAAUGUUAGUAGCAGGUGUGCAUGACUACAUGGGGUUCUCUGCUACGAGACCGUUAUCCUCUAGUAGAGCAUAUGCAUCUUUCUUUUGAUUACUGCCAUUGACGCUUAAUGCAGUGCUUUGUAAGCCAGGAGUAAUUGAUUGGUUUUGGCUGCAGAAUUACUAUGUGAAGUCAGUUUUGACCGUGGUCGAACACUGGUCUGCACUACUUGUACCCCAGCUUGGCAACAAAUGGGAAUAACUACAGGGUGCUGUUCUCUGUUGUCUCAUCACCAAAAAGUACAGCUCUCUAGGGUAGUGCUAAUAUGAACUUUGGUAGAAGGUCCUCUCUUUAUGAAACUUUAUGGCAAUGAAUUGCAGUACUUGCUGGUAGAAUUGAGCUUUGAGACAGUACAGAAAAGAAUACUAGGAGUCUGGCCUUUCCCAGACAGGUGAGCGGUCUUAAACCGUAGCUCGAUUCUUGAUCCGUUGUUGCAACUGCUAUCCAGUGUAAUGCAGUUCAGAAGUCUCCUGUCCCAAUUCUGACGUGGUAAAGAUGAAGAGGGAGUCAGUUCACACUGCUUACUUCAGACAGCUGCCUAAAGGCUCUGGAUCGCCCCAUGAGAGAUUCCAUUUGCUGUGUAGUGAACUCGAGACGCCUUAUUGUUUUUGAUUGCAUCUUAAUGUGUCUUAAAGCGCAUGAUCAGAAUAUGUCCCCUCUCAGUACAACCAGGGGAGUCGCUGUGCUGUGUGUGGUUUUGUUUUUGUUUUUUAAUGUAACUUGAUCCUGCUUUUGUGCAAGUAGUAGAAAGGGAUUGGAUCACUGAUCUUUUUCAAAAGACAAGUGGCAAAUAUUGGUAAGUUAAUAUUUUAAUUCCAGAAAGUGAGAGACUGGUAAGUAAAUGCAUCACUUUAAUGCAUGCAAAUAAUAGUAACCGUAACUGUAGCUUAAUUUUAUAGCAUUCGGUUUACAAAGAAGAUUUGAAGAAAAUACAGAGCUAACAUCGUUUGCAUGUGUUGGGCACCUUCUGUGAGCAUAUGCUUCAGGAAUGGAUAACUGCACAUACACACAUCUACAGUGUGUAUCUACCCCUUUGUAACAGUCUCUGAUUAAACAUAAGUGAACCAC